AGUCCUUCGCCGUCCCUCGCCGUCCUUCGCCAUCGCACGCCACCGCACCCCAUCUCUCGAAAUCUGCAGACAUCUUGAUUUUUCCCACGCUGUCUGUCAGGUCUCCGCCGCCACUCGACGCCAGGGCGCCGGGCCUUGUGGGCUGUGCUGCACCUCGGACGGCUUCGCACCAGCCAGCGCCCUCUCUCUCCUGCAGCACUCUGAUCUGCACCCCCUGAGGGGCUUCCACUGUCCGCGGGGAGUGUCACAUGACUGCCGCCCCAUGUGUGUGAGAGGCGUCCUCUGGGAGAGCAUGGAUCCUGAGGUCCCAGGAUUGUCAGCUGACCUCUGUCCUGUGUGCCCAGUGGCCCCAGGUGACGUGUCUUCAAGAAGAGGCUGAGCUGCGGUGCUUGUAAGGGUCUCAUUCUGUCACCCAGGCUGGAGUGCAGUGGUGCAAUGAUGGCUCACUGCAGCCUCGACCUGGGCUCAAGUGAUCCUCCACCUCAGCUUCCUGAGUAGCUGGGACCACAGAUGGGUCUGCUGUGUGCAGAGGCUCCAUGGGAUGUGUUGUCUUCAUAGUAGCAGGGCGCUGGACCAUGGGUCCGCAAGGUCUCAGCCUUAGAUCCAAGGACAGUCCAAGGAAGUCCUAAGACCAUGGAGUUGGUGAUCUGGGAUCUGGGUUUGCUGAUAUUUCUCACCGUGAAUCUCUUGGUGGUGUUUGUGGGCACGAGAGGGGCAGAGAAUGGAGAGUGAGGCUACCACAUGAAGCGUCACCAGAGCUGCUCCCUGCUGCCUGCUCAGAGCACCCCGGAUCCACUGUUCAAUCUGCACAAGAUUCGGGGUCCAGACAUGGGAGACUUCAGCUGCCUCAGAGGACCGUGGACAGGGAAGGCCAGCCUCGCAUCCCUCUGUCCAUGCCUGGAAUGACUUUAAUAACCAAGAGUUUUAUUUUUGAAUUUGUAGCUGUCGUUCACUUUUUACCCACCCAUUCAAUAAACCUUACAGAAUUGCUCCA
Molecule: long non-coding RNA, 994 nt
Filed under: Homo sapiens (human)
Lineage: Eukaryota; Metazoa; Chordata; Mammalia; Primates; Hominidae
Description: small nucleolar RNA host gene 17, transcript variant 46 (SNHG17)
Source: RNAcentral